Molecule: long non-coding RNA, 6789 nt
Organism: Boleophthalmus pectinirostris (great blue-spotted mudskipper)
Lineage: Eukaryota; Metazoa; Chordata; Actinopteri; Gobiiformes; Gobiidae
Exons: 2
Source: RefSeq, a predicted model, not a curated record
AGUAUGAAUUGCGCAAUGACCGGAAGUCUGAGAUUCUUGAUGUGUCUAUUGUCUUCCCUUAUAACAAGCAGUUAGUGUUUAAGUCUAUAAAAGGUAAUUGAACCUUUCUCCAGGUGGAAAAGUCCCUGAACUCCACCAAAAAUUACCCCUGAGAGCUCAUUUUCAAAAAUGCAGUUUGAAAUGAAGGAAGUUAAUAGUAGAUGUUUUUAUUACUUUAAACUAACCAGAAUAUGCCAAAGUUUCUCUGGUAAAAAUUUGACCAACAUGAAAGCUCAGAAAAGUGUAAGAUUUGUGUCAGAAAUGGUCAUUGUCUCAAAUAUUCAGGUUAAACAGUUAGUUUGUAAAUAUCUGCUUGUAGUAAAUAGAUCUUGGACCUUAAAAAUGUUUUUAAAAAAUUGAGCGGCAACCAAAUGUGAGAUUUUGGGGCCCCACAGCGCCUCCCUUAAUAAAGUCACACAAUAUUUGACAACUGAUUCAGAAUCUAUGACCAAGAAUCUAAAAUAAUACACAUUUUUAUCUUCCCAGCUCUAUUUUUUAUGAAGUUAUGGUCUCUCAAACAUGAUUAUAAAUUAAGCUUUCCGAAAAAGAAAGCAUGGCCCCAAAAUUUCAUACUCAACUGGCCAUAACUCAGGAAUGACUGAAGAUUCUUUCAUUUGGUAAUUUUAGAAAUUGUUUUGAUUUUUUUUUUUUUUUUAGCCAAAUCUGAGAUGGCUCACAGGGGAGAUUCCUUGAAAACUUCGGAUUUUGUACGGUCUGACCCAAAUGUAACUUAUCUGCCCCAAAAAUACACCAAGAUUGAAUGUUUACCUUCCUGGACCUGGACCUCACCCACCUACAGUUGUCAAGGAUUCAAAAUGCUUCACUGUGGGACAUUUUCAGGUUAUCUCAAAAUGAGGCUAAACCAAAACCCAUUCACAGAAAAUGGGGAAACCUGCACGAGUUUAAAGAUUCACAUUCAGAAUACUUUGUUCUUGUUUAAACCAAGAGAAACUCCUUGGUUGAUUUUGGACCAAACCGAACCCUACUGCUUGGUGAAAACAAAGGCGUCCUAAAAAUCUACGCAUCUAAAACUGUAGGAAACGUGAGGUAUUAUUAAAACUUUACUACAAUCAGACGUGGGUCAGUUUUGCAGCGACACUAUAUUUUUGUCUUUGCAGAACGUGUGCUUAAGAAUCUGUUAUGCAAAUGUUCCUCAGAUGAAAACGAGACGAGGUUUGAGGCGACGGCGCUUUUUACGAAGUGCAGAAAAAGCAAAAACAGGAAGGAGGAGCCGUGUGAAAAGCAAUAGGAGCAUAAGACUCACUUCUAUUUACAAACGUGUGUAGAAAUGUGCCGAGAGACGCCGUUCAGACAACAACACCGCGGCAUGGAGAAUAUUGGAUCGGUUUGUCAUGUGUUCAUUCGUUUUUCAAAAAUAAAACCAAAAAUAAGAAAAUGAAGAAAGAAACAACUAUUUUCUUCAUUAUUUGUCUCCAAAACCAAAAAGAAAAAGUUUUUGAUUUUGUGUUUAAAUGAAAAAUAGAAAAAACUGAUAAAGACCGUUUCCCAUUUACGAGACCGGGACUGAGACCGGGACUGAGACCGGGACUGAGACCGGGACUGAGACCGGGACUGAGACCGGGACUGAGACCGGGACUGAGACCGGGGCCUGAUAUCGGGACCAGACUAGGACCGGAUCGGGACCUGACUGGAACCGACACAAGGAUCUGGUUUAGCCCUGGCUCAAUUCUGGUUUAGAUCGGGUUUAGUCCCGGUUUAAGCCCCAGUCUCAGUCCCGGUCUCAGUCCUAGUCUGGUACUGGUCUGGUCCCAGUCUUUGUCCUGAUCUACGGUCUAUGCGGCUGCACCUGCGGGGACAUCUGGACACUCCUUGUUCAGUCCUGGUUUAGACCUGCUUCAGUCCUGGCUCAGUCCUGGCUCAGUCCUGGCUCAGUCCUGCCUCAGUCCUGCUUCAGUCCUGCUUCAGUCCUGGUUCAGUCCUGGUUCAGUCCUGGUUCAGUCCUGGUUCAGUCCUGGUUCAGUCCGUAUGUGGCGCAGAACUCCGACGUCGCAGUUUAAAUCCGGAAACGCCCAUUUUUUCCAUUACCCUUUGAACACAAAAUCGAAAACUGAAAAAACGAAUCAUUAUUUGUUUUUUCAAUUUGGUUUUGGAGACAAAUAAUGAAGAAAAUCAUAGUUUUUUGUUUUUAUUUUUUCAUUUUCUUACUUUUGCUUUUAUUUUGAAAAACAAAUGAACGAACGAUUAAUUUUUUGGUACAUUUUUUUUUUAUUCCACACAUUUUCUUGGAACAGUAUUAACAGCAGAGGGGCCAAAACUCAAGUAAAAGUCCAAAGUAAUGGUCCAGAUACUUAAAAUUUGGGAAAAGUACUACUACAGUAAGAGUAACUUGAGAAUAAAGAGUCUGGACUUUACAUGUGCUCAUCUCGUGUCAUUUGAAGUAAACCUCGGCGUGUUUUCCGAACGGCGUCUCUCGGCUCGGUUACGCUUUGGUACAAUUUCAAACUUGAACUUAUCGUUUACAUAAAUCAUCUCGUUCACAUCCCGAUAAAGCUAAAGUAUUUAUUCCAUUGGUGGAAGCCUCAAAUCUCCUGUGCACUUUAGAGGGCAGCGCUGCAGAAAAACACACACACACACAGGGACAGACGACGCUCAGACCAAACCUCCUCUGCUCUGCUUCAACCUCUUUAAAACUGAAGAGUCUGGAAAAAAAGGCCCAAUUUUUUUUUUAGAUUUUGAGUCUAAAUUUGUAGAGAUGCAUUGAUUCAACACUGGUAUCAGAUAUCAGCCAGUAUCUUUUUUUUUUUUUUUUUUUUUUUGUCAGUAAGUUUGUGUAAUGAGACAGUUUGAUGGCCAGUUUGCUCAUAAGGAUUAAAUGUACCGUAAUUUCCGGACUGUUGAGUGCACCUGAACAUAAACCGCGUCAACUAAACUUUAAAUCUUUAGGCGCCAGAGAUUUUUUCCUAAAACGUUAGAUUUUUUGACAUCUUAGUCCUGGUUUAGCUCUGGUUUAGUCCUGUUUUAUACCUGGUUUAGUCCUAGUUUAGUCCUAUUUUCAUCCGGGUUCAGUCCUGUUUUCAUCCUGGUUCAGGCCUGGUUUAGACCUGGUUUAGAAAUAGUUUAACGUGAAUGAAAAAUGUUGGAUUUUGACAUCUUAGUCCUGGUGUAGCCCUGGUUUAGUCCUGUUUUCAUUCUGGUUUAGGCCUGGUUCAGUCCUGAUUUAGACCUGGGUUAGUCCUAUUUCCAUCCUGGUUCAGACCUGGUUUAUCUUAAAUGAAAUUCAAGUUUCUGCAAAGUGAACCGGUUGAAUCAGGGUGCUACUGCUCAUGUCUCCUGCAGAAAGAGCCGCUGUCCUUGAUUUCAUCAGAUUUCAGACUCUCUCGGGGGUGGGGUUAGGUGUAUGGAUCAGGUAUGAGUGGAUGUUCGACUACUGAAGUUUGAGACGUUUUUUUCUUGUCAUUUACACACUCACCUGAUUUAACACGUACGGAUUGUUUAGACAAAUCUCACUCACUAAUGUUCAUUUAGCUUAAUGUGAACCAAAAAUAAACAAAUACUCGUCCGUAUAUUCGCUGCAUCGUUGUUUAAGAUGCACGGUUCAAAGUGUGAGAAAAAAGUAUAGGCUUAUAGUCCGGAAAUUACGGUAUUAACAUUUUUCAGAGCUGUUUUGUACUUUAGAAAUGAUACAUAACAAUUAAAAACACAUUUGGAUCUGUUUUGUUGCCAGAGUUUAAAUGAAAAUGAAUUAUAUUUUCAGUCUCUGCCCCAGUAUCGGUUGAUAUCUGGUAUCAGCAGAGUCUUAAUGACAAAGUAUCGACAUCGGUAUCGGAACAGAAAAAGCCGAAUCGAUGCAUCUCUAAAAAUGUUUGUAUUUACAUUUUCAUUUUGAGUAUUAUAUUUAUUGAUUAGGAAAUAUAAAGAUGUUUAAAAGCGUAUUUACACCUGGGAAAGACACAUUUUUCCAUGUAUUUGAGCAAAGUUUAUCAGGUAUACAGACUUUAAUUUGCAAAUUUCCUGCUGGGCAAUGGUUUAAUUUGGGGAUUUGACUGAGGCCGGGAACUGAGGCCGGGAACUGACGCCGGGAACUGACGCCGGGACCAGACUGGGACUGAGAUUGGGACCGAGAUUGGGGCUAGACUGGGACUGACACCAGGAUCUGGUUUAGUCCUGGUUCAGUUCUGGUUUAGUCCUAGUGUAGUCCUGGCUCAGUCCUGGACUCAGUCCUGGACUCAGUCCUGGUCCCGGUCUCAGCCCCGGUCUCAGCCCUGGUCUCAGCCCCGGUCUGGUCUCAAUCUGGUCCCAGUUUCAGUCUUGAUCAGUCUACGCGGGUUCAUCUCCAGGCCCGUCCCGACACUCCUGGUUUAGUCCUGGUUCAGUCCUAGUUCAGUCCUAGUUCAGUCCUGGUUUAGACCUGGUUCAGUCCUAGUUCAGUCCUAGUUCAGUCCUGGUUCAGUCCUGGUUCAGUCCUGGUCAGUCCUAGUUCAGUCCUAGUUCAGUCCUAGUUCAGUCCUGGUUCAGUCCUGGUUCAGUCCUAGUUCAGUCCUGGUUCAGUCCUGGUUCAGUCCUGGUUCAUGGGCAGAGCAGAGGAGCCGGACCCUCUCAUUGUGAAUACACCACAGUAUUUCCACACACUGUACUUCACCGCAGUAUUUCUAUGUAAAGUAUCAGAUUUUGGCAGCAAUAAUCCUCGAGCCUCUGUCCUCUCCUGCUCCUUCAAUGUGAACGUAGACUCGCUUCUGUAGUCCGCCGUUUUAGCGCUCGGAUCAUCUCCGGUUUAUAAGGCCCGGCACCGCACUGCAAAAAAUGAACGUCUGCAUGAGCUCAAACAUUUAAGAUUUUAUAGGAUUUGAGAUUUUUACAGGAUUUUGUUACAGUUUUCAAACUUUAAAGGUGCAUUGUGUAACACUUCUGGUGUUUUUUUUCACGGGGAUGUCUUUAUUUUGUCUUCCUAUGUUAGUUACAGGUCAGAUCUGUGGAGAGGCGAUCCCGCUCACAGUCAGAAUGUCUGUUUUCUAGGUAUUUUUGAGCUGUAAAACCACCUGUAAUUAAAUAAAAGUAGAGUUUAAUGUCAUACCGUGUUAGGUGAAGGACACCCAACCAAAAAAAUUACACAGUUCACGUUUAAUUGCCCAAAUUUGGUUCAUAGAUACUGUCCUGAGUUGAAUCUACAACCUAAAAUUCUCCUCUAUAGUCUAAAAACGAUCUGGACUUUACAUAAGCGUCACAAAAUCGCACUUUUUGCCAAUCGUCAUAUCAUAAAUAUUUAAAUAUAGCUGCUUUAAGAUUAAAUAUCGGUAAAAAAUGUCAUUUAUACUCCACAAAUUGUAUAAAAUAAAAUGAUUUGAAUCUACAUUUUUGUGCCACCAUUUACUUUGGACUGGCCUGCUGUCUUAAGGUUCGUUCACACCAAAGCGUCAAAUCGUCCAGUUUCUAUGUAAAGUCGAUGUGGACGCGCGACUAGAGCGUCCUGCGUUUUUGCGGCGCGUCUUCAGCGUCAGCGCGGCGCGAAUCUGGCGUCGACGCGGCGAGUCUUGAGCGUUUUGGAGUCGACACUCUAGAUGCGCGUCCAAGGUGUCAGCGUCAAGAAGUUGAAAAUGCUGAACUUUUCACAUCAGACGCGCCGCGUCAACCAAUCAGGGAUGAGUAUCCAGAGACGCAGCAACGUAAUGAUCAGGAAGAAAAACCCGAGAACCAGAACGAGAACCAUAAACAUGAGCGGAGAAUAAACAUAUACACCACAAUCACCGAGCCGAUCGCAAGGACUAGACCGGGACUGAUCCAGUGUCAUUAGUGGAGUAUAAAUAUAUAUCCGUCCCAGUCGUCGAGUCGAUCUCCUCCGCUGAUUUUUAUGUCAUAAAAACACUAAAGUCUCUCAGUCUGGUCUGACAUUGUUUUGGGAAAAGAGCGGGACCGGGCUCUUGUUUCCAGGGCAACGGACGUGCAUUAAGUAUUUUUCUCCCGUUUGUCCACGGCGUCAAAUACGCGCGUCGUGGGCGUCUGAACUCAAAUGCAAAGGCUCCAAAUAGAGACGUCCAGGCGUUUUUUGACGCUUUGGUGUGAACCGCCCUUUAAAGGUUCAAUGUGUAAAUUUUCUGGUCAUUUCUUUAGACUUUGACAAACUUUCUUGACCCACAAAGGAAAUUAUUUGGACACCGGAGCUCACAUAAAACAAUAAAUAUAAUAACAAAAAGAAAAAAAUAUAAAUGGUAAUAAUAAAUUCUAAAUAAGUAGCAAAAAAGAACAAGAGACUAGAGUCGAAUAAGGCGUAAUUAUAUAAAUGUGAAUGUCCGAAUGAAAAUAAAAUAGAAAAAGUAAGUAAUAAAUAAUUAAGAUGUUGUAGCUUUGCCCAGAAUGUUCCACAGUAUGGCAUUAAAGUCAAUCGUCUCAUGCACUGAUUCAAAUACAGGUGUUUUUAUCGCUCAGAAAUACCUCGAAAAGUCCGCAUUUGUACCGUGAGUGGGCUCACCUCUCCACUGAUCUGCCAUGUAUCGUGCCACAUAUUUGUUUUUAUCGAAAUAAGUAAGUUUAAUGCCGUAAUGUGGAAUAUUUUGGACCUGAAAACGUACACCGCGCGCCUUUAAAAAUACACGUAAAGCUUUAUUUUAACACAAGUGCCGCACAAAACCGAAACUUUUAUUUGUGGUUUAAAAAGAAAAAAAAAAAAAAGCUCCGGGUGAGUUUGUUGUGAAUUUCAGACUUUUUGGGCAAAUAAUCAAAAUUCGCCCCACAUAUCGGCCCAAAAUAACUGCAGAUUCUUUGGAUUCUGAACAGUCAGUAUCAGCGUUGACCAUG